GACGAACGCUGGCGGCGUGCUUAACACAUGCAAGUCGAACGAAGUGGCGAACGGGUGAGUAACGCGUAAUUAACCUGCCCUUCAGCGGGGGACAACAGUUGGAAACGACUGCUAAUACCGCAUACUGAGGGAGGGGAUUGCGUUUGAUUAGCUAGUGGGGGGGGUAACGGCCCACCAAGGCGAUGAUCAGUAGCCGGUCUGAGAGGAUGAACGGCCACAAUGGGACUGAGACAAGGGCCAGACUCCCACGGGAGGCAGCAGUGGGGAAUCUUCCGCAAUGGACGAAAGUCUGACGGAGCAACGCCGCGGGAGUGAUGACGGCCUUCGGGUUGUAAAGCUUUGUUAAUCGGGACGCGGUACCGGAAUAGAAAGCCACGGCUAACUACGUGCCAGCAGCCGCGGUAAUAC
This 408-nucleotide ribosomal RNA is filed under the name uncultured bacterium. RNAcentral describes it as "partial 16S ribosomal RNA". It matches the Rfam family "Bacterial small subunit ribosomal RNA", at positions 28 to 526 of the family's 1533-position model. The record is from RNAcentral.